AUAAAAUGGUUCCUAGGUAAAUAUUUAGACUUAAACAUGCUUAUUAGUCUUGGUCAGUCAAUGUUUUUAUCUCUGGGGUUGUUUUCUGACUCAAAACUUAACUAUAGAUUCUUGUAGGUUGUGACAAGGAAGUUAAUAUCCACCAGCAGGAAUGGUCAUUGUCUCUUUCCAAUAGCUGUUUUCUUAAGAAUGGUGCUGGAGAACAUCAUUUCAGUGAUGGACAAAAGUUAUCACACCUACUGCUACAUUACAAAGAAGGAUCUUUAUCAUGAAAAAGCUUUGUACUCUGCCAAAAGCCUUUUCUGCAUCUACUGAGAUAAUCAAGUGAUUUCUGUCCUUGAGUAUGUAAACAUGAUGGAAUAUAAAAAGUAA
Molecule: non-coding RNA, 372 nt
Organism: Cricetulus griseus (Chinese hamster)
Lineage: Eukaryota; Metazoa; Chordata; Mammalia; Rodentia; Cricetidae
Source: RefSeq, a predicted model, not a curated record